Dreissena polymorpha is the source of this 7613-nucleotide long non-coding RNA. RefSeq lists it as uncharacterized. Lineage: Eukaryota; Metazoa; Mollusca; Bivalvia; Myida; Dreissenidae. The record is from RefSeq and is a predicted model, not a curated record. The transcript has 6 exons.
CACUAAACAACUUUUUGUUUUCUCAGAUUACACGGAAUUGAGCACCCGGGCCAGACUGACACUUUCCGGAGCCUGUCCGAGACGGAACUCGAGCCGAGGAAUCAUAGGUCCAGGUGGUGUCGGAAUUAGUCUAUAGCUCUGCCUGAACUGCUGUCCAAUUGGUUUACAAGUCCGGCUGAAGUGACAGGCCAUCAAAAACUGCACAGUAUGACUGAUUCGGAGACGGCCCUCAACACUCGCCCAGUCGUGUCGAGAGGAUCGGUGUCUUUGCAGGUUAGUACGCUGUUAUUUUCAAUGAAAUCUAUUGUAAAAUGAUUUCUUUGAUAUCAUGGCACACUUUUGUCACCAAAAUUAGGCAAAUUGUUGUUUUUUACAAUUACUGCAGCUCUGAAACCACAUUUUGUGGCGAUAACUUUGCCAGUGUGCCCGACAAUGUGAUGCCGGCAUGGUGACUUAUCCGUUUACAGUAAAUAAAGCCACACAGACUAUUGAAAGCUUACUCUAAUUGUAUCUCACUUACAUAAGUUAGCACCGUAAUGGGUAAAUGUGCACUAAACAACUUUUUGUUUUCUCAGAUUACACGGAAUUGAGCACCCGGGCCAGACUGACACUUUCCGGAGCCUGUCCGAGACGGAACUCGAGCCGAGGAAUCAUAGGUCCAGGUGGUGUCGGAAUUAGUCUAUAGCUCUGCCUGAACUGCUGUCCAAUUGGUUUACAAGUCCGGCUGAAGUGACAGGCCAUCAAAAACUGCACAGUAUGACUGAUUCGGAGACGGCCCUCAACACUCGCCCAGUCGUGUCGAGAGGAUCGGUGUCUUUGCAGGUUAGUACGCUGUUAUUUUCAAUGAAAUCUAUUGUAAAAUGAUUUCUUUGAUAUCAUGGCACACUUUUGUCACCAAAAUUAGGCAAAUUGUUGUUUUUUACAAUUACUGCAGCUCUGAAACCACAUUUUGUGGCGAUAACUUUGCCAGUGUGCCCGACAAUGUGAUGCCGGCAUGGUGACUUAUCCGUUUACAGUAAAUAAAGCCACACAGACUAUUGAAAGCUUACUCUAAUUGUAUCUCACUUACAUAAGUUAGCACCGUAAUGGGUAAAUGUGCACUAAACAACUUUUUGUUUUCUCAGAUUACACGGAAUUGAGCACCCGGGCCAGACUGACACUUUCCGGAGCCUGUCCGAGACGGAACUCGAGCCGAGGAAUCAUAGGUCCAGGUGUGACAGAAAACUUAAAGCUCAUGUCUGACGAUGACUUUUUUUGCGUCAGGAAGUAAAGUGUGUUGUUUUCCCAUGCAAGCAAGCCCUUUUGUUGGGUCAAAUGACAUCAGAAAUGCUGCUUCUACAUGGAUUUUACCUAAAAUGUGCCAAAAAAUAUAUAAAAAGUUUGUUCGGAUCUUGUUCAAAACCUGCUAUGAUGCACAUAUAAUGCCAUUGAUGAUUUGUUUUCACUUAUUAAGUCAUAUGUUACAUCUGCUAUGCUAUUAGAAUCGAAAGUGAUGCCUUGUAUGGAGUCUAAGUGCUGUCUGUAUGAUGUAACCAAGGUCGGCUUUUCUACCUUAAUUCUUGACGCGAAACGCUGUUACGCGUGACGCUUUCAACGUCAACUUUAAUGAAUAAAUCUGUGUGUCAUGGUACUGGAACUUUGUGAUCUUUUUUAAAACAGAUUAUACCUAUGGAAAAAGUGCCUUUAAUUCAAAUUUGAAGGGGUUGGGUUCCCUUAUAGGUUACAUUAUCCUAAACGGAAGUGGAAUUUGGGGGGUUACAUGCAGUCGGUUUGCUACUUAGUACAUAUGAUGCAGGUCCUGGUGCAUAAGAUUUUAAAAAUGUAUCUGAAAUGAAGAGUUUAGGUGUCAGUUUAAAGGUACAUGUGUAAGUCACAGGGCAAAAGGCCUGAUUUGUGCAUUUCUUUGUAUGUUAGUGGUUGCCAGCCUCAAUAGUAGGGCAUGGUUUUUGCCUUCAAAUGGCAGUGCCGGUAGCUGUCAAAACCGGUUCAUAUGCUCUAAGGUAAUUAUUUUGAGUUACACCGUAUAGAAUUUUUUCAAAUGCAGUUUUUUUGUAAGUUUAUGAAACCACCUUUCCAGUCAUGUAUAGUUAUAUAUUGGCUUAUCGCUCGGUCAUGGUGAAAUUUGAGAUCAAAGAUUGCGAAUUCUAUAUAUAACAAAGAAGGAAAUUAAUUGGGCAUGUGUAACCUUUAAGAACUUCCGACCAAGUUAGUCGUCUUCCAGAAUGUUGACAAUUUACCAUCAAAAACUCUCUGUAUUGCAAAACAUAACUACCAGAUGUCAUUUUGACCCAAUUAAGGGCUGUUUGCAAUUGGGCUGUUGCACUUGGGGUCCUAAGGGGGGUAAAUGCUUGAAAAUCACUCCGAAACCUGUUCCGAAGACACAUUCUAAGACUACGUAAACACUCGGUAUUGUUUUUCAGUGACAUUUUGACAUUAAUUUGCAUCAAUCUCAAUAAUGAACCUAAUUCCUGUCUUUAUUUCAUCUGUAUUUAUUGCUAUUGUUUACUUUUAGCCUUUUACUAUUUAAAAUGUAAUGUGUGUUGUUUUUCCAUGCAAGCAAUUUUGGACCGACACUGCUAUCUGCCUUCGCUUUCAAUCCCGCCAGGCAGAUCUACUCAGAAUAACACUACUUUGCCUUAUUUUUCCUGUUUGGAUAUCUUGCUGAGUUCAAGUUAAAUCAAGUAUUCAGCUGAAAACACAAAAAGGAUAAUAAUAUUAUGCUUUCUUUCUUGGAACGAUGUUGUUGUGAUAGACCGUGCGUGAAAAACAGCAGGGAAUCUGUAUUUAAGUGACCUCAAUAUUAUACGUAAACCUAAAUGUACAUUUUUAGGUGGUGUCGGAAUUAGUCUAUAGCUCUGCCUGAACUGCUGUCCAAUUGGUUUACAAGUCCGGCUGAAGUGACAGGCCAUCAAAAACUGCACAGUAUGACUGAUUCGGAGACGGCCCUCAACACUCGCCCAGUCGUGUCGAGAGGAUCGGUGUCUUUGCAGGUUAGUACGCUGUUAUUUUCAAUGAAAUCUAUUGUAAAAUGAUUUCUUUGAUAUCAUGGCACACUUUUGUCACCAAAAUUAGGCAAAUUGUUGUUUUUUACAAUUACUGCAGCUCUGAAACCACAUUUUGUGGCGAUAACUUUGCCAGUGUGCCCGACAAUGUGAUGCCGGCAUGGUGACUUAUCCGUUUACAGUAAAUAAAGCCACACAGACUAUUGAAAGCUUACUCUAAUUGUAUCUCACUUACAUAAGUUAGCACCGUAAUGGGUAAAUGUGCACUAAACAACUUUUUGUUUUCUCAGAUUACACGGAAUUGAGCACCCGGGCCAGACUGACACUUUCCGGAGCCUGUCCGAGACGGAACUCGAGCCGAGGAAUCAUAGGUCCAGGUGGUGUCGGAAUUAGUCUAUAGCUCUGCCUGAACUGCUGUCCAAUUGGUUUACAAGUCCGGCUGAAGUGACAGGCCAUCAAAAACUGCACAGUAUGACUGAUUCGGAGACGGCCCUCAACACUCGCCCAGUCGUGUCGAGAGGAUCGGUGUCUUUGCAGGUUAGUACGCUGUUAUUUUCAAUGAAAUCUAUUGUAAAAUGAUUUCUUUGAUAUCAUGGCACACUUUUGUCACCAAAAUUAGGCAAAUUGUUGUUUUUUACAAUUACUGCAGCUCUGAAACCACAUUUUGUGGCGAUAACUUUGCCAGUGUGCCCGACAAUGUGAUGCCGGCAUGGUGACUUAUCCGUUUACAGUAAAUAAAGCCACACAGACUAUUGAAAGCUUACUCUAAUUGUAUCUCACUUACAUAAGUUAGCACCGUAAUGGGUAAAUGUGCACUAAACAACUUUUUGUUUUCUCAGAUUACACGGAAUUGAGCACCCGGGCCAGACUGACACUUUCCGGAGCCUGUCCGAGACGGAACUCGAGCCGAGGAAUCAUAGGUCCAGGUGGUGUCGGAAUUAGUCUAUAGCUCUGCCUGAACUGCUGUCCAAUUGGUUUACAAGUCCGGCUGAAGUGACAGGCCAUCAAAAACUGCACAGUAUGACUGAUUCGGAGACGGCCCUCAACACUCGCCCAGUCGUGUCGAGAGGAUCGGUGUCUUUGCAGGUUAGUACGCUGUUAUUUUCAAUGAAAUCUAUUGUAAAAUGAUUUCUUUGAUAUCAUGGCACACUUUUGUCACCAAAAUUAGGCAAAUUGUUGUUUUUUACAAUUACUGCAGCUCUGAAACCACAUUUUGUGGCGAUAACUUUGCCAGUGUGCCCGACAAUGUGAUGCCGGCAUGGUGACUUAUCCGUUUACAGUAAAUAAAGCCACACAGACUAUUGAAAGCUUACUCUAAUUGUAUCUCACUUACAUAAGUUAGCACCGUAAUGGGUAAAUGUGCACUAAACAACUUUUUGUUUUCUCAGAUUACACGGAAUUGAGCACCCGGGCCAGACUGACACUUUCCGGAGCCUGUCCGAGACGGAACUCGAGCCGAGGAAUCAUAGGUCCAGGUGUGACAGAAAACUUAAAGCUCAUGUCUGACGAUGACUUUUUUUGCGUCAGGAAGUAAAGUGUGUUGUUUUCCCAUGCAAGCAAGCCCUUUUGUUGGGUCAAAUGACAUCAGAAAUGCUGCUUCUACAUGGAUUUUACCUAAAAUGUGCCAAAAAAUAUAUAAAAAGUUUGUUCGGAUCUUGUUCAAAACCUGCUAUGAUGCACAUAUAAUGCCAUUGAUGAUUUGUUUUCACUUAUUAAGUCAUAUGUUACAUCUGCUAUGCUAUUAGAAUCGAAAGUGAUGCCUUGUAUGGAGUCUAAGUGCUGUCUGUAUGAUGUAACCAAGGUCGGCUUUUCUACCUUAAUUCUUGACGCGAAACGCUGUUACGCGUGACGCUUUCAACGUCAACUUUAAUGAAUAAAUCUGUGUGUCAUGGUACUGGAACUUUGUGAUCUUUUUUAAAACAGAUUAUACCUAUGGAAAAAGUGCCUUUAAUUCAAAUUUGAAGGGGUUGGGUUCCCUUAUAGGUUACAUUAUCCUAAACGGAAGUGGAAUUUGGGGGGUUACAUGCAGUCGGUUUGCUACUUAGUACAUAUGAUGCAGGUCCUGGUGCAUAAGAUUUUAAAAAUGUAUCUGAAAUGAAGAGUUUAGGUGUCAGUUUAAAGGUACAUGUGUAAGUCACAGGGCAAAAGGCCUGAUUUGUGCAUUUCUUUGUAUGUUAGUGGUUGCCAGCCUCAAUAGUAGGGCAUGGUUUUUGCCUUCAAAUGGCAGUGCCGGUAGCUGUCAAAACCGGUUCAUAUGCUCUAAGGUAAUUAUUUUGAGUUACACCGUAUAGAAUUUUUUCAAAUGCAGUUUUUUUGUAAGUUUAUGAAACCACCUUUCCAGUCAUGUAUAGUUAUAUAUUGGCUUAUCGCUCGGUCAUGGUGAAAUUUGAGAUCAAAGAUUGCGAAUUCUAUAUAUAACAAAGAAGGAAAUUAAUUGGGCAUGUGUAACCUUUAAGAACUUCCGACCAAGUUAGUCGUCUUCCAGAAUGUUGACAAUUUACCAUCAAAAACUCUCUGUAUUGCAAAACAUAACUACCAGAUGUCAUUUUGACCCAAUUAAGGGCUGUUUGCAAUUGGGCUGUUGCACUUGGGGUCCUAAGGGGGGUAAAUGCUUGAAAAUCACUCCGAAACCUGUUCCGAAGACACAUUCUAAGACUACGUAAACACUCGGUAUUGUUUUUCAGUGACAUUUUGACAUUAAUUUGCAUCAAUCUCAAUAAUGAACCUAAUUCCUGUCUUUAUUUCAUCUGUAUUUAUUGCUAUUGUUUACUUUUAGCCUUUUACUAUUUAAAAUGUAAUGUGUGUUGUUUUUCCAUGCAAGCAAUUUUGGACCGACACUGCUAUCUGCCUUCGCUUUCAAUCCCGCCAGGCAGAUCUACUCAGAAUAACACUACUUUGCCUUAUUUUUCCUGUUUGGAUAUCUUGCUGAGUUCAAGUUAAAUCAAGUAUUCAGCUGAAAACACAAAAAGGAUAAUAAUAUUAUGCUUUCUUUCUUGGAACGAUGUUGUUGUGAUAGACCGUGCGUGAAAAACAGCAGGGAAUCUGUAUUUAAGUGACCUCAAUAUUAUACGUAAACCUAAAUGUACAUUUUUAGGUGGUGUCGGAAUUAGUCUAUAGCUCUGCCUGAACUGCUGUCCAAUUGGUUUACAAGUCCGGCUGAAGUGACAGGCCAUCAAAAACUGCACAGUAUGACUGAUUCGGAGACGGCCCUCAACACUCGCCCAGUCGUGUCGAGAGGAUCGGUGUCUUUGCAGGUUAGUACGCUGUUAUUUUCAAUGAAAUCUAUUGUAAAAUGAUUUCUUUGAUAUCAUGGCACACUUUUGUCACCAAAAUUAGGCAAAUUGUUGUUUUUUACAAUUACUGCAGCUCUGAAACCACAUUUUGUGGCGAUAACUUUGCCAGUGUGCCCGACAAUGUGAUGCCGGCAUGGUGACUUAUCCGUUUACAGUAAAUAAAGCCACACAGACUAUUGAAAGCUUACUCUAAUUGUAUCUCACUUACAUAAGUUAGCACCGUAAUGGGUAAAUGUGCACUAAACAACUUUUUGUUUUCUCAGAUUACACGGAAUUGAGCACCCGGGCCAGACUGACACUUUCCGGAGCCUGUCCGAGACGGAACUCGAGCCGAGGAAUCAUAGGUCCAGGUGGUGUCGGAAUUAGUCUAUAGCUCUGCCUGAACUGCUGUCCAAUUGGUUUACAAGUCCGGCUGAAGUGACAGGCCAUCAAAAACUGCACAGUAUGACUGAUUCGGAGACGGCCCUCAACACUCGCCCAGUCGUGUCGAGAGGAUCGGUGUCUUUGCAGGUUAGUACGCUGUUAUUUUCAAUGAAAUCUAUUGUAAAAUGAUUUCUUUGAUAUCAUGGCACACUUUUGUCACCAAAAUUAGGCAAAUUGUUGUUUUUUACAAUUACUGCAGCUCUGAAACCACAUUUUGUGGCGAUAACUUUGCCAGUGUGCCCGACAAUGUGAUGCCGGCAUGGUGACUUAUCCGUUUACAGUAAAUAAAGCCACACAGACUAUUGAAAGCUUACUCUAAUUGUAUCUCACUUACAUAAGUUAGCACCGUAAUGGGUAAAUGUGCACUAAACAACUUUUUGUUUUCUCAGAUUACACGGAAUUGAGCACCCGGGCCAGACUGACACUUUCCGGAGCCUGUCCGAGACGGAACUCGAGCCGAGGAAUCAUAGGUCCAGGUGUGACAGAAAACUUAAAGCUCAUGUCUGACGAUGACUUUUUUUGCGUCAGGAAGUAAAGUGUGUUGUUUUCCCAUGCAAGCAAGCCCUUUUGUUGGGUCAAAUGACAUCAGAAAUGCUGCUUCUACAUGGAUUUUACCUAAAAUGUGCCAAAAAAUAUAUAAAAAGUUUGUUCGGAUCUUGUUCAAAACCUGCUAUGAUGCACAUAUAAUGCCAUUGAUGAUUUGUUUUCACUUAUUAAGUCAUAUGUUACAUCUGCUAUGCUAUUAGAAUCGAAAGUGAUGCCUUGUAUGGAGUCUAAGUGCUGUCUGUAUGAUGUAACCAAGGUCGGCUUUUCUACCUUAAUUCUUGACGCGAAACGCUGUUACGCGUGACGCUUUCAACGUCAACUUUAAUGAAUAAAUCUGUGUGUCAUGGUA